UCUACGGGAGGCAGCAGUGGGGAAUAUUGGACAAUGGGCGAAAGCCUGAUCCAGCCAUGCCGCGUGUGUGAAGAAGGCCUUCGGGUUGUAAAGCACUUUCAGUGGGGAAGAAAGCCUUGGGGCUAAUACCCUCGAGGAAGGACAUCACCCACAGAAGAAGCACCGGCUAACUCCGUGCCAGCAGCCGCGGUAAUACGGAGGGUGCGAGCGUUAUUCGGAAUUACUGGGCGUAAAGCGCGCGUAGGCGGUCUGAUAAGCCGGUUGUGAAAGCCCCGGGCUCAACCUGGGAACGGCAUCCGGAACUGUCAGGCUAGAGUGCAGGAGAGGAAGGUAGAAUUCCCGGUGUAGCGGUGAAAUGCGUAGAGAUCGGGAGGAAUACCAGUGGCGAAGGCGGCCUUCUGGACUGACACUGACGCUGAGGUGCGAAAGCGUGGGUAGCAAACAGGAUUAGAUACCCCUGUCGUC
Molecule: ribosomal RNA, 465 nt
Filed under: Vreelandella stevensii
Lineage: Bacteria; Pseudomonadati; Pseudomonadota; Gammaproteobacteria; Oceanospirillales; Halomonadaceae
Description: partial 16S ribosomal RNA
Rfam family: Bacterial small subunit ribosomal RNA
Source: RNAcentral